Molecule: small RNA, 30 nt
Filed under: Bombyx mori (domestic silkworm)
Lineage: Eukaryota; Metazoa; Arthropoda; Insecta; Lepidoptera; Bombycidae
Description: ovarian small RNA-27933
Source: RNAcentral
UCCUGCUGGAAUGUUGUCUUCGUGCACUAC